RNAcentral lists this long non-coding RNA (6987 nucleotides) under Triticum aestivum (bread wheat). RNAcentral's name for it is "long non-coding RNA (TAES_LNC003318)". The record is from RNAcentral. Lineage: Eukaryota; Viridiplantae; Streptophyta; Magnoliopsida; Poales; Poaceae.
UAAACUUAUUGAAAGUUAGCAAACACAGCAUUGGUCACUCGAACAAUUCAUGCAAGAAUAUUAAAGAAAGAGAGAUUUCACAUAUAAAUAUACUAUCUUAGACAUCUUUUGUAAUUGUGAGCACUCAUUAAAAUAUGACAUGCUAAAAGGUUGAUGUUGGACAAGGAAAACAACUUAAUGGGUUAUGUUUUCCUAUAUCCUAAACGUUAUAUUGUCUUUGAUCAUCCAACAUGUUGAGCUUGCUUUUCCCUCUCAGGCUAGCCAAAUUCUUUGCAUCAAGUAAAGAUACUACUUGUGCUUCCAAACAUCCCUUAAACCAGUUUUUCCAUGAGAGUCCACCAUACCUACCUAUGGAUUGAGUAAGAUCCUUCAAGUAAGUUGUCAUCAUGCAUGCAAUAAAAAUUGCUUCUUAAAUAUGUAUGAUCUAUUAGUGCGAAGAAAAUAAGCUUUAUACAAACUUGUGAUAGGGAAGAAAUAAAAGCGAAAGACUGCAUAAUAAAGGUCUUUAUCACAAGCGGCAAUAUAAAGUGACGUUCUUUUGCAUUAAGAUUUUGUGCAUCCAACCAUAAAAGCGCAUGACAACCUAUGAUUCCCUCUGCGAAGGACCUAUCUUUUACUUUUAUCUUCUACCCUUAUACAAGAGUCAUGGUGAUCAUCUCCUUUCCUUUUUACACUUUUUCCUUUGGCAAGCACUUUGUGUUGGAGCGAUCCGGAUAUAAAUAUCCACUUGGAUGUAGGUUUUCAUAAAUUAUUAUUGUUGACAUUACCCUUGAGGUAAAAGGUUGGGAGGCGAAACUAUAAGCCCCUAUCUUUCUCUAUGUCCGAUUGAAACUUUGAAACCAUAAAUAUCACAUGAGUGUUAGCAAUUGUGAAAGAUCAAAUGAUAGUUGAGUAUGUAGAGUUUGCUGAACCAAAGCUCUUACAUAGACCCAUCCCAAAAAUAAGAUGAAUUGCAGUUGUUUGAUGACUAAGAACACGGUUUGUUAGUUUUCAAGAAAGUUUAUGAUCUAUACUUUAACUUGUGAAUAGCUUGUUACUUGAUCAUGAAAAGUUUUAUGAGUUGAGCUACUGUUAUGAUAUAUAAUGAUGCUAGAAAAAGUGAUUGAAACUAUCAUUGAUCAAACUUAAGCGCUUACUAGCAAUCACACUUCAUAAAUUAUUUCUUUUAUCAUUUACCUACUCGAUGACGAUGUUUGGGGAUACUGAUAUGUCUCCAAUGUAUCUAUAUUUAUGAAGUAUUCAUGCAAUGUUUACAAUAGGUUUAUAUGAUUUUGGUAUAAUUUGAUUAGAACUAACCCACACUGACGAUGUUUUUAGCAGAACUACCAUAGUGUUGUUUUUGUGCAGAAAUAAAAGUUCUCGGAAUGUGCUGAAAAUCAACUAAGAUUUUUUUGAAAAUAUGAAGAAUAUUGGAACAAAAAUCUACCGUAGGGGAGUCUCGUGGGCUCCACGAGGGUGGGGGGCGCGCCCCUGUGCCUUGUGGACCCCCUGUGGGGCCCCUUGACUUGUCCUCGACGCCAACCUCUUCUAUAAAUAUCCAAACCUCCAGAAAACAACCUAGAUCGGAAGUUCCGCCGCCGCAAGCCUCUGUAGCCACGAGAAAUCAAUCUAGGCCCUCUCUAGUGUGAUGCCCCUGAUUCAAUCAUACACUAAUCAUACACGCAAAUGUGUACGAUCAAGAUCAGGGACUCAUGGGAAGAUAUCACAACACAACUCUCGACACAAAUUUUAAUACAAGCUUUAUAUUACAAGCCAGGCGCCUCGAGGGCUCGACUACAUCAGCUUGAAUACAUACGAGUCAGCGGAAGCAACAAUAUCUAAGUACAGACAUAAGUUAAACAAGUUUGCCUUAAGAAGGUUAGCACAAAAGCAGCAUGAUCGAAAAGGCAAGGCCUCCUGCCUGGGAGCCUCCUAACUACUCCUGGUCGUCGGCGGCCUCCACGUAGUAGUAGGCACCCUCGGGUUUGUAGUAGUCGUCAUCGAAGGUGGCAUCUGGCUCCUGGACUCUGUCAUCUGGUUGCGUCAUCCGACAAGAAUGAAAAAGGGGGAAAAGAGGGAGCAAAGCAACCGUGAGUACUCAUCCAAAGUACUCGCAAGCAAGGAUCUACACUACAUAUGCAUCGGUGUCAAUUGAAAUGGGUUGUAUCUGUGGACUGAACUUCAGAAUGCUAGAAGAGAAGGGGAAAAGCUAGUCCUAUUGAAGACUAGCAUCUUUUGGAAACCACCAUCUUGCAGCAACAUGAGGGAGUAGAGUAGUAUAACAUAAGUCAUAUUUAUUUUGUUGUAUCAACGCUCCGGGAUCCUUUCUCGACUCCCGAAGCAACAUAUCCAAAUCAUGCCUCAGCAUCCAGUUCUAGUUGUACCCAUCAGGAUACAACUUCGAGUGUCCAUUACCGUAGGACAGGCUAUCGAUAGAUGUUUUCUUCCCUGCAGGGGUGCACCAACUUACCCACCACACUCGAUUAACUCCGGUCGGACACACUUUCCUGGAGCAUGCCCGGCCUCGGCCAAACAAUACGCCGCAACUCGACCUAGGCUUAAUAGAGAGGUCAGCACGCCGGACUAACCCUAUGCCCCCAGGGGUCAUGGGCCAUCGCCUCGGGAACUCCUGCAGGUUGCGUACGCGGCCGGUGAGCAAACCUAGCUACCUCCUUAAAAAGGCAGCUGCUUACGCAGUCCAACCUGGCACACGCCGCUCAGUCGCUGACGUCUAUUAAGCUUCGGCUGAUGCAUACGACGCAGAACGCCCAUACUAUGCCCACGUGAUGGUUAAUGCUAUCAGGCCAGAGGCCCCUCGAAUAAAAUAUCCAAAUCGUAGUGGAUUAGGAACGCGCAGUAACAAGCAGAGACUCACGAAAGAUGUGACCCAGCCGUCCCGUCUCGAGGACUUGCGGCAAGGGCUAAGAAUGCCCGGUCACGCCUCGUAAUUAUCUCGCAGGCACCUUUCAGGUCAACCCGACUACACAUCACUCGCAAUUAAGCUCGCGCGGGUACCCCUCAGGGCCAACCCAUCUUUAGUAACAUGGUUCGGUGUAAAGUCAUAGUAAUCAUAGUAACCGUGUGUCUAACACCAAGGGAACCCUGAGGAACCACCCUCGGUGGAUUCCACUUGAUGUAAUCAUCAUUGUGAACAUAAGAGGAACCACCCUCGAGGUUCACACUUGAGGGGUUGCACGACAGAGUCGUAUCGGAAGUGGUUAAGGAGGAAAUAACCCUCGAUGACCACGACCGAAUAGCUACACUACGAGAUCUCAUCAGGAGUGAUGUAAGAGGUACCACCCUGGGCACUCGAUGGUAACUCUGCAGAGUCGAGCAACAAAAGGGGCGUGAUGUGAUGUGACGUGUCAGGCUCUGGUCGUCGAUCACGUUGAUCGAGUCAUCGAUGAUGAAGCAGGGGCAACAAAGACAAGGUGGGGGCCACUGAUAGAUCACUAACCAAACUAUACUAAGCAGUUUAGGAUAAGCAGGUAGGUAACAAUAAGCAGGUUACAAAAGCAGGCUAUGCAUCAAAAUAGGAGCAAUCAAUUAUAGUAGAAAAAUCUAAUGCAAGCAUGAGAGAAUGGAAUGGGCGAUAUCGGGAUGAUCAAAGGGGGGGGCUUGCCUGGAAGCUCCACUGAAAGGGAAGAAGGGUCGUCGUCGACGUAGUCGAUCAUAGCGGCAUCAACAGCGGUCUCGAGGUCUACCGGAGAGAAUAGGGGAAGACACAAUAAAUACAAAACAAACAAGUGCAAGACUAAGCAUGACAUGACGAAAAGCAGAACUAGGGUCGAUCUAACGUUGUACUACAUGAUAUAGGUGAAGGGGGAAUUCAACCGGGAAUGUUUUUCCGGUUCCGGACCGGUGUCAGACAGAUGACCGGAGGGGGAAAGUACCAUGUUCAGCUAGUUAGAGGCAUCUGACAGGUAAACGAACCGCGUACCCGAAUUCCUCAAGUCGUUCUAAGCAACUUUCAUGUAUAAAACAUUUUCAUCCGAGUUACAAUUUAAUUUCUAUGAUUUUUCAAAGUUUUAACAAUAUUCUAAAAUUUCUAGUUUUGUUCUAAUUCGAGUUGACCAAGUCAAUUUGACUGGUCAAGGGGGGUGGUGGCCCACAUGUCAUAAAGUUGUAUCUAAUCUAAUAAAUAAAACUAACUUAAUCAAAUGGAGCUCAUAUGUCAUAGUGUAGCAGCUAACCUAACUAGAAUGAUUAGUCCCUAAUCUAAUCUGUACAGGGCCGGCCAUAGGCAUAGCCAGCCUCACAGCUGUGCACAUACAUGCAUCGCACAGGGGCACUCGGCCAUGGCCAAAAGCAGUAGCAAAUGGCAACAACGGGCAGCAGCAGGUAGCAUCAGCAGCCAACGCAAAAGAGGAGCAGCAACACAAAGCAAAGCAGCGUUAAAAGUAGCAGGAGGAACGACAAGCAAGCAAUAGCUCAGCGGCAGCUGCAAGUAAUCAAUAGCGUCAUGUUGUAGAAACAGCAAGCAACCACAAUGGUGCGGCGCUAGGGGCAUUAGCAGCAGCAGAAGUGAGCAGCACCAGUUUUAGGCAGAGCAAGCAGUGGCAGGGCAAAGUGGCAGCAGGUAGCGCGAGCAGCAAAACAGCCAAGCAUGCGGGCGCGCAGCACAUUGGCACGGCGAGCGAAGGGCGAGGAAGGGCGCGGCCGGCGCGUAUGCGAUGAGGCCAGCGGCUGUGGGCCGCCGCAGCGUCGGGCACGGCCGGCAGUGGGCGGCGCCGACGGCUGCGGUGUUAGGUGCAGGGGCGCGACGAGGAUAAGCGCGGGGCGGCUGCGGGCUUGGCCUGGCGCAGGGGCGAACGAGGCCCGGGUGCGGCCUAGCUCGUUAGGGAGGCGAGGCGAGGCGCGGGCACGGGGUGGUCACGGCUCGGGGUUGGGGCAGGCGCUGGCCGUGACGGACAACGGCUAUGGCUACAAGCAGGAGACGCGCUCCGACGAUGGAUCGAGACCGGGGCGAGAGAGAAACAGGGGAGGAGCUCACAUUGGUGCGGCAGUGAGGGUCAGCGGGCUCGGGGUUGCACCGAAUCGGCCGAAUGGACGAUGGCGGCGUUCGAGGUGCAGAAGCGGAGAUGAGCUUCAUGGCGACAUGCGAGGGCCUCUCGGCUUGGUCCGGUAGUUCAAGUCGACGGAGAAGAGGACGGCGGUGCCUCUAGACAUCUUGUCUUCGGUCGGGGAUGACCAUGGCCACGAAGACCACGACGGCACAGAGACGGCUUCGCUCGCGUUCGUGCUGUGAGGGAGAAAGGAAACGGAGCGGUGAGGGGGGAAGGGACUAGGGUUUGGUCGAGGGGAGUUGAGGGCAUCAAGUAGGCGUCGGGGGGUGGCGGAUGGCCGGCACAUGGCUAUCCACGGCCAUGGGUGGCUGCCCAGCGUCCACCUCCCCCUCUGUGAAUAGGGAAAGAAGGAGAUGGUUAGGUGGGCUGGGUCAAAGUCAUGUGCGUUCCUGGGCCUAAGUGCACAAAGCCUUUUUCCUAUUUACUUUUCUGUAAUAAACCUGCUACUGUGCUCUAUUUAGAUUAGAUAACAAUUGAUUUUUAAUUUAUAUGAAACUUGUCAAACAAAUACAGGGAAACAUCAUGGGGCUGCUCAAAAAGUUUCAAAGCAUUUUGUGAUUGUUUAACUAUUUUUAGAAAUUGAAAAGGUCAAUUACUUGACGCUUGACAGUUGGUCCACUAUUAUAAAGUUCAGGGGCAUUUUAAGCAUCUCCAAUUUUUUUUGUUAAUGCAAGACAAUUACGUAGUGAAUAUUUUGAACCUAAUGAACAUUUUUAAUUUACCAUUUGAAGAAUUAAUAAUUUGAUUUGCAUUUUAAAAUUGAAUUUGACUUUGAUUUUAAUCAAGUGACAAUUGGCUUAGUAAAGUGGUGAUGACAUGGCAUCAUUAGGGUGAGGUUACUGUAGCUAAGGAUGGCAAUGGCUCGGGUUCGGCUCGGGUUGAACAAUAUCAAAUCCAUAUCCAAAUCCAUGAAGACAUUAUGUGCCCAUCCACAAAAAAGUCCAUGGGCAAAAAAUUAUGUCCAUGUCCAAAUCCGAUGAAUAUCCAUCGGGUAUGGAUAUCCAUCGGGUUCUCUCAACAUGUAUACACAUGACAUAGCACAACUAUACAAGAUUCACAUAAGCUCUCAAAUUUUCACAAAACGACAUCGCACAAGUGCACAACUGUACAAUUUUAGUCAAAAAAUUAAACUAUACAAAUUUGGGAAUACUGUGAUCUCUAAGUUGUACUGAAUGGUAACUAUCAACCUAAUAUAAUUUUUGUAUGUUUCUUCCUUUUGGUAAUAAGGUAGACCUGUCCAAAUUACAUGUCAGAUUCUAAUGGAUCUUAAUCAUUCACAUCGCUCUAACUGAAACUCACUUAUGUAGCAAUACCUAAUUACUAAUUAACCUGGAUAUCUACGGAUCAUGCUGUGUACCAAAAACAAAUUGUGACUCAAUUAGUAACAAGUGAAGAUUACCUAACUUUGUAAAUCUCUACUCCAACUGCUACUGUAAACUGAAGUACAUGAGUACCUUGCUGAAAUUCACUAACUGCAGAUGCUCCACACCCACGUACAUGACCACUAGACAUACAAGAGAGGGGUUAAGGGAACGAAAGAUUACCCUGAGUACCGGCUAUUUUGUGUGGCCGUCACCUCCUUGGCAUGGUCACGCUCCUCAUCAUGGCCUGCGGCUGCCUCCCGGCACACCCGUGCCGUCGUGCUCCUGGUCCCGCUCCGCAUCACAGCUCACAGCCUUGCGCCGGCCUGCCACCGUCGCCGGCCCGAGGUUAUAGCCGUACGUGCGUGGAGAAGCAGAGAUGGGGGGACGAGGGGAUAUGGAGUUGGGCGGUGGGCUACCACUGUCCAGUGAUGGUGUUGGCUGUCGAACUACUGCCCCAUAAGUAGAGGUGAGGUCUGCCGUCGCCGGCGGCUGUACCUAGGUCCGCUCGAGGAGCAAGGCGAGGAGUCAGGAGACGGAGCCUCUCAUUAAUGAAGAGUCGUUUAACGAGGAGAUAAAAG